Molecule: ribosomal RNA, 253 nt
Filed under: uncultured bacterium
Lineage: Bacteria
Description: partial 16S ribosomal RNA
Rfam family: Bacterial small subunit ribosomal RNA
Source: RNAcentral
UACGGAGGGAGCUAGCGUUGUUCGGAAUUACUGGACGUAAAGCGCGCGUAGGCGGCUUUGUAAGUUAGAGGUGAAAGCCCGGAGCUCAACUCCGGAACUGCCUUUAAGACUGCAUCGCUAGAAUCCAGGAGAGGUGAGUGGAAUUCCGAGUGUAGAGGUGAAAUUCGUAGAUAUUCGGAAGAACACCAGUGGCGAAGGCGGCUCACUGGACUGGUAUUGACGCUGAGGUGCGAAAGCGUGGGGAGCAAACAGG